UGGGGAAUCUUGCGCAAUGCGCGAAAGCGUGACGCAGCAACGCCGCGUGGGGGAAGACGGCCUUCGGGUUGUAAACCCCUUUCAGGAGGGACGAAGGUUCGCCGGUGAAUAGCCGUGCGGAUUGACGGUACCUCCACAAGAAGCUCCGGCUAACUACGUGCCAGCAGCCGCGGUAAUACGUAGGGAGCAAGCGUUGUCCGGAAUCAUUGGGCGUAAAGCGCGCGUAGGUGGCUUCGUAAGUCCGUUGUGAAAGUCAAAGGCUCAACCUUUGAAUGCCGAUGGAUACUGCGGAGCUAGAGUACGGAAGAGGCGAGUGGAAUUCCUGGUGUAGCGGUGGAAUGCGCAGAUAUCAGGAGGAACACCAAUAGCGAAGGCAGCUCGCUGGGACGUUACUGACACUAAGGCGCGAAAGCGUGGGGAGCGAACAGGAUUAGAUACCCCGGUAGUCC
RNAcentral lists this ribosomal RNA (449 nucleotides) under uncultured bacterium. Its description in RNAcentral is "bacterial SSU rRNA". It matches the Rfam family "Bacterial small subunit ribosomal RNA", at positions 355 to 796 of the family's 1533-position model. The record is from RNAcentral.